RNAcentral lists this long non-coding RNA (269 nucleotides) under Brassica napus (rape). Its description in RNAcentral is "long non-coding RNA (BNAP_LNC013710)". The record is from RNAcentral. Lineage: Eukaryota; Viridiplantae; Streptophyta; Magnoliopsida; Brassicales; Brassicaceae.
GAAAAUGGGAUCACCUUAUUUGAAAGUGAGAUAACUUCUUCAUCCUAACUCCUAUGAGAUUUAUUCAACUUCCUCCAAACAGGGAAACUGGGAUCACCUUAUUUGAAAGUGUGAUAACUUCUUCAUCCUAACUCCUAUGAGAUUUAUUCAAAUUCCUGGUGAUUCUCCACUACUCUAUGUAUCUAAAUCAAGCUUUGUACAUCGCGAUUCUUACUGGUUUGAUUAGAAUGUCGAAGAAAUUGUCAUAUUCCCAAACAUGGAAACUGGGA